UAAAACAGUGUGUGAAGACUAGAGAGCUUAUUCGGGUCUGGGUCGCGGUGGCAGCAAAGCAAGCAGCUCAUCCCACACUUCCCUAUCCAUGGCCAAG
This is a long non-coding RNA of Thalassophryne amazonica, 97 nucleotides long. RefSeq lists it as uncharacterized. NCBI's taxonomy places the organism in Eukaryota, Metazoa, Chordata, Actinopteri, Batrachoidiformes, Batrachoididae. The transcript is spliced from 4 exons. The record is from RefSeq and is a predicted model, not a curated record.